GGCUGCUCUCAGUGCAGCGGUGUUUUCAACUAAUUGAUCACAACCAGUUACAAAUUUCUUUGUUCCUUCUCCACUCCCACUGCUUCACUUUACUAGCCUUAA
RNAcentral lists this Y RNA (102 nucleotides) under Prolemur simus (greater bamboo lemur). RNAcentral describes it as "Y RNA (ENSPSMG00000017108.1)". It matches the Rfam family "Y RNA". From Rfam's summary of the family: Y RNAs are components of the Ro ribonucleoprotein particle (Ro RNP), in association with Ro60 and La proteins. The Y RNAs and Ro60 and La proteins are well conserved, but the function of the Ro RNP is not known. Lineage: Eukaryota; Metazoa; Chordata; Mammalia; Primates; Lemuridae. The record is from Rfam by way of RNAcentral.